This is a long non-coding RNA of Oncorhynchus tshawytscha (Chinook salmon), 642 nucleotides long. The record is from Ensembl. Lineage: Eukaryota; Metazoa; Chordata; Actinopteri; Salmoniformes; Salmonidae.
CAUGAACAGUAUGUUGUGCCAUAGUAUCAGCCUCAAGUUGGAUAGAAUUUGUUUUGUUGUUUUUUAGAUGGCCAAAAAGCUCAAUUUUAGUCUCAUCUGACCAGAGUACCUUCUUCCAUAUGUUUGGGGAGUCUCCCACAUGUCCUUUAGUGAACACCAAACGUGUUUGCUUAUUUUUUUCUUUAAGCAAUGGCUUUUUUUUGGCCACUCUUCGGUAAAGCCUAGCCCUGUGGAGUGUAUGGCUUAAAGUGGUCCUAUGGACAGAUACUCCAAUCUCCACUGUGGAGCUUUGCAUCUCCUUCAGGGUUAUCUUUGGUCUCUUUGUUGUCUCUCUGGUUAAUUCCCUCCUUGCCUGUACGUGAGUUUUGGUGUGGCGGCCCUCUCUUGCCUAACACUGAACUGUACUUCGCCACAACAUUGUCCCUGACCUGUUUGGAGAGCUCCUUGGUUUUCAUUGUGCCGCUUGCUUGGUGGUGUCCCUUGCUUAGUGGUGUUGCAGACUCUGGGGCCUUUCAAAACAGGGUUAGGAUUGUAACCACCAGCUUCUUUCUAUGGUGCUACCUGUUCCAGGGUUAGGACUGUAACCACCAGCUUCUUUCUAUGGUGCUACCUGUUCCAGGGUUAGGAUUGUAACCACCAGCU